UAUAGGGGGCAUGUUUGGCCAUUGGAGAAUAUCUUAAGGGGUAGAUAUGUCUCAGAAAAUAAAAAUUUUACUCCUCUUCUCUUCCUCUUAAUAUUCCCAGCAACUGCAUGUGCAGAUGUUAAUGGGGGACCUCAAUCAUCUGUCACUGUCUACAUGUACAUAUCUCUACUAACAGACACUUGAAAAUUUGUUAUCUUUAAUAAUCAUUAUCAAUGAAGAUGUACUGCCAGCUACUGUGUUUUUGUGUGACGUGGCAUUAAUGGA
RNAcentral lists this unclassified non-coding RNA (264 nucleotides) under Hevea brasiliensis (rubber tree). Lineage: Eukaryota; Viridiplantae; Streptophyta; Magnoliopsida; Malpighiales; Euphorbiaceae. The record is from RNAcentral.